This is a small RNA of Lactobacillus pasteurii, 122 nucleotides long. It matches the Rfam family "DUF3800-I RNA". From Rfam's summary of the family: Actinobacteria, Firmicutes, Fusobacteria, Proteobacteria (1 example), Tenericutes (2 examples). Lineage: Bacteria; Bacillati; Bacillota; Bacilli; Lactobacillales; Lactobacillaceae. The record is from Rfam.
UGAAAUUGCAGGUAAGAAUAAUAAAAAAAGCUGUAUACUCGUGCAACCGAAUUAACGUUUAAGCGAUAUGUAAUAUCGUCGGCCACGGGGCCGUCCCUUACAUGGGGGCGGUUUUUUUGAUU